UGUGCACGCGCAUGCAUGCCUGGAGGAGGGAGGAGGCUCUCAUCCUGAUGUCUCUGUCCCAGUUUCUGACUGCUCCAAAAGAAAAACUCUCUCUUCAGGGGCUGCCACAGGCUCUGGGAAGCAGGAGGCCUAGACGAAAUUAGAGGUGAUUUCAGAAAAGAUUCGUGCCCUGGAAACAGCUGAAAACACCCCAAAUGUCCAUAGAGGCUGGAUAUGGGGAAGAUUGAGAAGCUGGGCAUUUGGUCAUUAUGGCACCGACCCCAGGAGCCUGGAGAUGCAGCCCAUCCUAUCAACGCACAUUUAUUAAUAUGUCUAGCAGUAAAGAUUAGAUUUGCUUGCAUGUGACAGAGAACCCUACAUAAUAUUGGCUCAAGCAAGACAGACAUUUAUUUUUUUUAUCAUGUCAAUAAAAGUCUGGUAGGAAGAAAUCUGGCUAUUAAGAAGUCUAAGAGCUCCACAAAGUCAUAGAAGAACUGAACUUCUAUUUUUGUAUUUAAAUGUCUUGCAUGGUGGCACCUGGGUGGCUCAGUGGUUGAGCCCUACAGGGAGCCUGCUUCUCCUAUAGGGAGCCUUCUUCUCCCUCUACCUGUAUCUCUGACUCUCUCUGUGUGUCUC
Nyctereutes procyonoides (raccoon dog) is the source of this 615-nucleotide long non-coding RNA. RefSeq lists it as uncharacterized. NCBI's taxonomy places the organism in Eukaryota, Metazoa, Chordata, Mammalia, Carnivora, Canidae. The record is from RefSeq and is a predicted model, not a curated record. The transcript is spliced from 3 exons.